This 253-nucleotide ribosomal RNA is filed under the name uncultured bacterium. RNAcentral's name for it is "partial 16S ribosomal RNA". It matches the Rfam family "Bacterial small subunit ribosomal RNA", at positions 524 to 776 of the family's 1533-position model. The record is from RNAcentral.
UACGUAGGGUGCAAGCGUUAAUCGGAAUUACUGGGCGUAAAGCGUGCGCAGGCGGUGAUGUAAGACAGUUGUGAAAUCCCCGGGCUCAACCUGGGAACUGCAUCUGUGACUGCAUCGCUGGAGUGCGGCAGAGGGGGAUGGAAUUCCAGGUGUAGCGGUGAAAUGCGUAGAUAUCUGGAGGAACACCGGUGGCGAAGGCGGCGUUCUGGACUGCAACUGACACUGAUAAACGAAAGCCAGGGGAGCAAACGGG